CUCGCGUCAGGAUAUGCCUAGGUGGGAUUAGCUAGUUGGUGAGGUAAGGGCUCACCAAGGCGACGAUCCCUAGCUGGUCUGAGAGGAUGAUCAGCCACACUGGAACUGAGACACGGUCCAGACUCCUACGGGAGGCAGCAGUGGGGAAUAUUGCACAAUGGGCGCAAGCCUGAUGCAGCCAUGCCGCGUGUGUGAAGAAGGCCUUCGGGUUGUAAAGCACUUUCAGUCGUGAGGAAGGCGGUGUCGUUAAUAGCGGCGUUGUUUGACGUUAGCGACAGAAGAAGCACCGGCUAACUCCGUGCCAGCAGCCGCGGUAAUACGGAGGGUGCGAGCGUUAAUCGGAAUUACUGGGCGUAAAGCGCAUGCAGGUGGUUUGUUAAGUCAGAUGUGAAAGCCCGGGGCUCAACCUCGGAAUAGCAUUUGAAACUGGCAGACUAGAGUACUGUAGAGGGGGGUAGAAUUUCAGGUGUAGCGGUGAAAUGCGUAGAGAUCUGAAGGAAUACCGGUGGCGAAGGCGGCCCCCUGGACAGAUACUGACACUCAGAUGCGAAAGCGUGGGGAGCAAACAGGAUUAGAUACCCUGGUAGUCCACGCCGUAAACGAUGUCUACUUGGAGGUUGUGGCCUUGAGCCGUGGCUUUCGGAGCUAACGCGUUAAGUAGACCGCCUGGGGAGUACGGUCGCAAGAUUAAAACUCAAAUGAAUUGACGGGGGCCCGCACAAGCGGUGGAGCAUGUGGUUUAAUUCGAUGCAACGCGAAGAACCUUACCUACUCUUGACAUCCAGAGAACUUUCCAGAGAUGGAUUGGUGCCUUCGGGAACUCU
RNAcentral lists this ribosomal RNA (824 nucleotides) under Vibrio neocaledonicus. RNAcentral's name for it is "bacterial SSU rRNA". It matches the Rfam family "Bacterial small subunit ribosomal RNA", at positions 214 to 1030 of the family's 1533-position model. Lineage: Bacteria; Pseudomonadati; Pseudomonadota; Gammaproteobacteria; Vibrionales; Vibrionaceae. The record is from RNAcentral.